This 566-nucleotide ribosomal RNA is filed under the name uncultured Glomeromycotina. RNAcentral's name for it is "SSU rRNA". It matches the Rfam family "Eukaryotic small subunit ribosomal RNA", at positions 548 to 1114 of the family's 1831-position model. Lineage: Eukaryota; Fungi; Glomeromycota. The record is from RNAcentral.
UUGGAGGGCAAGUCUGGUGCCAGCAGCCGCGGUAAUUCCAGCUCCAAUAGCGUAUAUUAAAGUUGUUGCAGUUAAAAAGCUCGUAGUUGAAUUUCGGGAUCAAUGUUUCGGUCAUGCCGUUGGUAUGUACUGAUAUUAUUGGUUUCUCACCUUCUAAAGAACCGUAAUGCCAUUAAUUUGGUGUCACGGGGAAUUAGGACUGUUACCUUGAAAAAAUUAGAGUGUUUAAAGCAGGCUCACGCUUGAAUACAUUAGCAUGGAAUAAUGAAAUAGGACAUCCGAUUCUAUUUUGUUGGUUUCUAGGAUCGAUGUAAUGACUAAUAGGGAUAGUUGGGGGCAUUAGUAUUCAAUUGUCAGAGGUGAAAUUCUUGGAUUUAUUGAAGACUAACUACUGCGAAAGCAUUUGCCAAGGAUGUUUUCAUUAAUCAAGAACGAAAGUUAGGGGAUCGAAGACGAUCAGAUACCGUCGUAGUCUUAACCAUAAACUAUGCCGACUAGGGAUCGGAUGAUGUUAAUUUUUUAAUGACUCAUUCGGCGCCUUACGGGAAACCAAAGUGUUUGGGUUC